Octodon degus (degu) is the source of this 106-nucleotide small nucleolar RNA. RefSeq annotates it as small nucleolar RNA U13. The transcript has a single exon. The record is from RefSeq and is a predicted model, not a curated record. NCBI's taxonomy places the organism in Eukaryota, Metazoa, Chordata, Mammalia, Rodentia, Octodontidae.
AUUCUCUUGUGUUUUUUUUAAGUGUUAUAAACAGCUUUUCAUGCCAUUGUGUGAGAUGUGCCUCUCUCAAACCCUGUUAAAAGCUUAGCAUGCUACCCUUCUUAUA